UGCAGUUCGUUGAUUCUUGUGAAU
RNAcentral lists this non-coding RNA (24 nucleotides) under Arabidopsis thaliana (thale cress). The record is from RNAcentral. Lineage: Eukaryota; Viridiplantae; Streptophyta; Magnoliopsida; Brassicales; Brassicaceae.